Long non-coding RNA from Strigops habroptila (Kakapo), 1015 nucleotides. RefSeq lists it as uncharacterized. NCBI's taxonomy places the organism in Eukaryota, Metazoa, Chordata, Aves, Psittaciformes, Psittacidae. The transcript has 3 exons. The record is from RefSeq and is a predicted model, not a curated record.
GCGAGCAGCCCCGCAGCCUCCGAAGCGCCGGGCGGCAACGGGCAGCAUCAGCGGCGGCGGCGGCGAGAGGGUCUUUCCCUCAGCACAAAACAUGGCGGCGGUGUGAGGCGGCGCCGCGCUGCCCGCUCCGCGGUGCACAGCUCCGCAUGGCAGGCUCUGACACACCGAAGGGAAUAACCCGCCCGUCCUCGGCGUGUGGACAAUGAACGCGCUUACAUGGAGUUUUACCACAAUAUAGAUUUACGUUGUUUGUAUUCAACUCCAUAGUUCUGUUAACAGCCACCUGACAGGUCUCCUCCAGCCAGCGGUCUCAUUAACCCAGGAAACAUCGGAGUGCUGAGCUGGGAAUGAGGGGCAUAAGGAAGGGAAGGAAGACGGGGGCUGUCAGAAGCACUGCCAGCCGCUCUCCCAUCUCAGCAACCACUACUCUGGAAGGCGUUAAAGAACCACUCGGAAGAGUCUCAAAAUCACUGCAGUUGCCCAUUUUGGGGUCCCAAGACAAAGACUAACGAGGAACCCAUAACCUCACCUCUGCAACACAAGUCACAUCCACCUUUUGGCACUGCUGUAGGGCUGCUGCAGGCCCUGUAUUUUCUGCUACAGCAACGCUGACAGCUCUAAUGCAGGCAGAAUGGUAUUCUUGCCACCUAAACCUGUUUUAAACAGAGCUAACGAGCACUGAUUUUUUUCAGAUACAAAGAAAGAAGCCAUUAGUUCUGCAAUAACAACUCUUGAGCGUUGCCGCAAUAGUAGAAGUUUUCCCAAAAGUGGCUUGUGCCUAAAAUGGCAAAGAGAAAGCAACAUGAAAACCUGUAAAAAUCGCUCCAAAUAAGCUAAAGGGCAAAAGUUUAAAGGCAACAGAAGGAGAAGCAACCCCUGUAAUUGUGGUAAAACACAGAGCUGUUUUUCCUCAGUAUUCUCAAGCACAGGUAGUAAAAAAGUUUUCAUCAUCUUUUUUCUUUCGGCCCAAAGCAUGUUUUUUAAAGUUGGAAUAAAUACAUUUAGCAAAAAAAAA